Molecule: unclassified non-coding RNA, 235 nt
Filed under: Hevea brasiliensis (rubber tree)
Lineage: Eukaryota; Viridiplantae; Streptophyta; Magnoliopsida; Malpighiales; Euphorbiaceae
Source: RNAcentral
UUUUUCAUUUCACCUCCAUUAGACUGUCUAGAGGCAGCACGACAUGUUUUGUAUGUUUUUUUUAUGUCGAUGACAGCUGCUGGUUCGUCGGAUGUCUUUCAUUCUUUGCUUGGCUCGUUAUUGCUGUAUUAAGAUGUUUGUGUGAGUCGAAUGAAGUUAGCUAGUCGGUCAACACGCCAAAUGAUUCACUCAUGCGAGUUUUUCGUCUUCGGAAAGCCAUGAACGCAGAAGAUGG